Molecule: long non-coding RNA, 208 nt
Filed under: Elaeis guineensis (African oil palm)
Lineage: Eukaryota; Viridiplantae; Streptophyta; Magnoliopsida; Arecales; Arecaceae
Description: long non-coding RNA (EGUI_LNC080669)
Source: RNAcentral
ACCAGAGCUUUCAGUGGAGAUGCCACACGCCUGCUGAAGAGGUGUCUGGAGCAAAAUUGAAUACUAAAAAUUAUUUGAUGAAAUAAUUGGUUAAGAACCUACUCAUGGGUGCACAAGAGGUGGUCGAGCCAUACUCGGGCCCAUGUGCAGUCCAUGUGGAUUCUAGUAUCCACUAAGAAAUUAGUGUAAUUCCUCAAAUUGAAGGUAG